Long non-coding RNA from Paramacrobiotus metropolitanus, 874 nucleotides. RefSeq lists it as uncharacterized. The record is from RefSeq and is a predicted model, not a curated record. The transcript is spliced from 5 exons. NCBI's taxonomy places the organism in Eukaryota, Metazoa, Tardigrada, Eutardigrada, Parachela, Macrobiotidae.
UCACAAGUUUUCAAACUUUUUAGACAAAUAGUAUCACCACAACAUAUCCUUUUGCAGUUCUCAAAGAUCUCCCACCUGAGUUUGUACGGCGUACAAGCUGAGGUGGGCGAACAGCAAAUGUAAUUUCUAUUUCCAUGGUAUAUCCAGUGGAAUCAAAGGUUUAUUGGUAAACUCGGAACUCGUACUGGUAGCAGUAGAGUUUGAAAAGAUUUGCAACGUUAAUCGCUCGGCGAACAACACCCCGCAUUUCGACGAUCUCUGUGUCGAUCGCUCUUUAGACUAUAGAGCGAUCGAUACAGAGGUCCUCGCCACGCCAUGUACUCCAUCCACUCCAGUGACUCCACGCCAAUUGUGGCGACAGAGCUGCCAUAUUGCUAGUUUCUUUUUCAGCCCGAAGUAUCAAGGAAUCUUUUGCCGAAGUGGGACUUCAAACCGUAGAAUUACAGUAAUAUCGUGGACCACGCCAUCCCACCAAGGACGCCCGAAGUAACCGCACUAGGGUUGCUCGUGGACAAGAUCCGUUGGAGGAUUCCAAGCACUAAUGGCAGAAGAGAGUCUUAUUUACGCUUUUUUGCAUCACUCACGAUUGCUUCUCCCAAGGGUACGUGGAGCCUGCAACUUUACUGGAGUCGUCAUAUUGCUGUUUGCAAGAUAACGUAAUUUGUUACUGGACCAGCGUGUUCGUUCGUCGGAUGCAACCGAAAAAGCAGAAUGCUUUUUCUUUGGAUGCAUGCGAUGAAGGUACAUGUAUCUUCGAAGAUACCAGAACUAAAACGGAUUUGACUGACGCCGUACUGACUGCGGUGACCCUGUUAAUCGGACCACCGUUAGGAAGGUCAUCGUAGUCAGUAAGAACUUGGUCGCCGGCACCUAC